UUUAGCUAUGACUUUAUUUGGGUUGAAUACAUGGAUUUUUUUUUUCAUGUCAUCUUUCUAAUCUUAAAGUAGAAAUGUAUUUACAUUGUUUAUAUACAAAUUGACAAUUAGAGGUGGGACACAUAAGAGUAAACUCUAGCGUGGCCCUGGAAAGUUACAUUGAGAAUUAAGAUUUCCUGAGAAUAAUCAACAGCCAUAUAACAGUAUCUCUAAAAAUUCUCAGAAGACAGCUUCUUCCAUGUGUUAUGAUCUGCAAUGUUUGGUGGUUUCAAAAUCUCCAGAUGUUUGGGUAGGGUGACUCCUUUUCUGGGUACAGGUCCAAAAAGAAGAGACGGCCUGGUUUUUAUUUCUAAGAAUGAUGCCACAGGUCAGUGUUGCCUGAAGUGGAGCAUGCCGGGAAGAAGCGCCAGAAUGGCCUUUGAUACACCGGGUACGCUAGAGGCUCAGUUGCAGUCAUGAUGGAUUAUUGACAAACUGUGUUUCUGUGAUGCGUUGUUUUGAAAGCAUAUGUUUACUCUGAUGAGGCUCUGUUCCAAGUUUGUGUCAAUGUUCAGUGCACUUGUUUUAUUUACGUAUAUUAUCCUUGUCCCAGAGAUUCCUAACCACAAGACACAAGGCACAACUUUGUUAGUCAUGCUUCCCUCCCACAAAAUCCAUGUUGAAUAGUUAUGAUUCUGAACUCAUUGCGGGUCCUUGAAAUAAAUUUUUUAAAAAUUACGAAAAAUAAAGGGAGUUCCCGUCAUGCCUGAGCAGUAAUGAAUUGACUAGUAUUCAUGAGGACGCAGGUUCGAUCCCUGGCCUUGCUUAGUGGGUUAGGGAUCCAAUGUUGCCGUGAACUGUGGUGUAGUUCACAGACACGGCUCAGAUUCUGCGUUCCUAUGACUGUGGUGUAGGCUGGCAACUAAAGGCAUGAUUUGACCCCUAGCCUGGAAACCUCCAUAUGCCAUGGGUUUGGCCCUAAAAAGAUAAAAACAAAAAACAAACAAACAAAAAAACAACCCACCACAACAACAAGACUCCUAGGAAGUCCCUUAGGGCCCAACAGGUUAAGGAUCCAGUAUUGCCACAGCUGUGGUACAGAUGUGGGUUCGAUCCCUGGCCUGAGAACUUGCACAUGGCUCGGUUGUAGCAAAAAAUGUAUAUAUAAAAAUAAAAAAUAAAGUCUGUAUUAAGGCAGCCAGCCUUCAAGAUGGCCCCCAGAGAUUCCCCACUUCCUGGAGGUCACCCCCUGGUAUAGCCCCCUUCCCACGGCACCAGCGUUGUUCUCUGGGACCAACAGAAUAUGGCAGAAGUCCUGGAGUGUGACUUCUGAAGCAAAGCCACUUAAAACACAGCUGCCGCCACUUUGCCGUUUUGGGCCACUCAACUCCAGAGGGCAGCCCGCUGCCAUGUCACGAAGAUACCCAAGCAGCUCAAGAAACCAUGGCUUCCUGUCCACAAUCAGCACCAGCUUUCCAGACAAGCCGUCUUGCACGUGGAUCCUCCGACCCCAGUCAAGCCCUCGGAUAUCCCUCACUCUGGCCAACUUCUUGACUGCAGCCACGUGGGAGAGCCCAGGCCGAACCAUCCAGCCAGACCCCUCCAGUUUCUGACUCACAGAGACAGUGAGAGAUAAGAAAACAUCGCUGGUUUUUAAGCCUUAAAAUAAUAAAAGUUAAUCCCUUUUUAAGCCUCUAAAUUUGGAGGCCAUUUGUAGGUCCCCAAAACUUGUCCUCUGGAGAAAGAAUUCGGCAAAGAGCCUGAGGGUAGUGAGCAGAUAAGUGCAAGAGAGAAGAGAGAGAAGAUAGGGGUGGCGAAGCACAGACAGGCUCUGCGGGGGGUGUGCAGAGAGACAGAGGGAGAAAGAGCCAGAGCGGAAGAGGUCGCACCUGCUCUCGAGGUCACGUCCAUCACUUGUGUGGGGGCGGUCCUUCCGGGCUCCCUCUGGCCAAUCAUCUUGCUUCGUCUGGCCUUGAGCCCCACCCCCCGCCCCCCAUCCUUUGGCCUGACGCAGGGCCCUCCCCUGCGUGUGCGCCCCUCUUUCAGCCACGAUGGAUUCCACCCCCAGGGUUCCUGGGAGGUGGACGCGAUGUACUGGGGUCUGGUGCCCCCUCCCUUCUCUGACCCCCGAGGAACCUCCUGCGAGUGUGUAGUUCCCGAGGUCUCCUUGACCUCAGGAAUGAGAACGGGGUGGCCGCUAUCUUUUGUCCACGCAGGACGCUCCUCCUUGCUCCUGCUAGAAGUCUUUCUCUUGAAGCAUCUGCUCACAGGGAUGAGGUGACAGGUGCACGGCCUGGGACCCGUCUAUUUCCUGCCUCAGCAGUAACUCAUACAUCAUCUGCGCCGUCCCCACUUCUCCUCUCCUUUCCCUGGUGGGUGGUGUUUAGGACCAGGGGCCUGCGUGACCUUGGUGGUGAAGGUGAAGCCUCCUGGGUCUGCAUGGUGUCCUUGACACCCUCCAGGUCUCUCUGAUGACCCAGAUAGGGAUGGGGUGCUGACCGGAUCCGGUCCCGGCCGACAAAGACUCUGUACGUGACUUCUGUGGUCUCUUCUCGUGGCUCAGGCAGGGUCCGUGGUUCCCCGUGACUUGUGGAGUCCAUUCAGCUCCUGCCAGCCCUGCAGACCCCUCCUCUGGGGGUAGCUUGUCCUUCCUGGUCAAUGUCUGACCUGGAAGUUCUUCCUUGUAGCUCUAGGGGUUACCAGUCACCUCGCAGUGGUGACAGCCACCUUCCCAGCAGAUGGUUGAGCAGCUGCCUUGGCUGCUUUUCUUGUUCUGGAUCCUCGCAGGACCCGUGAGCACCAAGCGAGGCUCUGGUCGCUUCCCCAGGCUUUCGCCCUAACAGCACCACGCUGGUGCUGUAGCUCCUUACGCAAGACAGUCCCUGGCCGGCUGGUGGGUCUAGUUACACGACCCUUGUGGUUUGCUCCAGUGCCUCUGCCUCUCCCCUUCCUGCACUGGGCAAGGGCCUCGGACAGGGCUUCCGCUUCUGUCUGGAGCUCCUUUUCUGCCACAUCGGCCUUCCUCCCUCGGGCAGUAAACCUCCCGGCCGGGCAGUCGUGGGCCUGGCAGUCGCGGGCAGGAAUAGCUUCUCUAAGCUGUAGGAGAAACUGGAGCAGGUCUGCCUGGCUGUGCUCUUGAUGAGGGAGCAGAGAGAAACUAGACUGCCAAAGAUGAAAAUAUAGGGAUUUCAUAUGCCCAAUUUAUUAUCCCUGUUAGCCAUUAUUUUUGAUUGAAGUGUACAGUAUCUUUUUUCCUGUCAAUAAGCAAACUACCAGAGUUCCCACUGUGGCUUAGCAGAAACAGAUCCGACUAGUGUUCAUAAGGAAACAGGUUCAAUCCCUGGCCCUGCUCAGUGGGUUGGGGAUCUGGCUUGGGGGGAUAGCAGCUACAGCUACAGCUGGCCAGCAGCUACAGCUCCAAUUCGACCCCCUAGUCUGGGAAUUUCCAUGUGCUGCAGGUGCGGCCCUAAAAAGCAAGCAAACCACCAAACAAAAAUAAGCAAACUACACACACACACACACACACAAAACACAGACAUACACAUUCAGGGAACCAGUUCAAACUGGAACCAUACCAGCACAUUUUCUUGAACAAGUUUGUCCCAAAGAACUAAAUCUAGAAUUGAAAUCAUCUUUAAACUGAUUCUGAACUUAACUGUAAAUCUUUCCGUUCCAAACCCCACAUCUCAGGUCGUAGUGGCGUGGGGACAGUCAGGAGGCACGUGACUCACAGCAGAAGUGGACACCUCUGCUCUUCUGUUUCGCCCAUGUGUUUGAAAAUAUUUGAUCAUAACCAUCUUUUUAAAAUUUUCUGGUCACGCCUGUGGCAGGUCUAAGUCCCUGGGCCAGGGGUCAAACCUGCACCACAGCAGUGAUAACACCCACCAGAUCGUUAACCUGCCAAGGGGCCAGGGAACUCCGCAACCACCUUUUUAAACAAUUACACUGGUUUAGUAUAUGCGUGGCACUAUUGUUUUUUUCAUGGCCCACAUUUCAGGAACUGCUCCUUUAGAGUCCUCUGCUCACAGGGCUCAUGAGGGAAAAAGUUAGCAACUCUGAAGGAAUCUUUUGGCUCCCCGUUUUCACCUUUUAAAUGGCACCGUGCCCGCUCCAAACGGUUGUUGUCACGUUCCAUGAGAACAUGAAGGACGCAUGUUUGUAAGCUGUGUCUUCUAGACCCGGGGCUGCCAAUCAGCAACCUCGGGGAGGAAAGCAGCCCUGAGAUGUCUUGUUUGGUGUGGGCAGAGUUGUUUUCGUUUCUGUGCGUUUGAAAGCAUCUAGAUUGUACAAGUUCACUUUUGUUUUUGUUCUGUCUUUUUAGGGCCGCACCCGCGGCGUAUGGAAAUUCCCAGGCUAGGGGUCGAAUCAGAGCUGUAGCCACCAGCCUACCCCACAGCAACAGCAAUACUGGAUCCGAGCCACAUGUGUGACCUACACCACAGCUCACGGCAGCGCCAGAUCCCUAACCCACUGAGCAAGGCCAGGGAUCGAACCUGCAUCUUCAUGGUUCCUCGUCAGAUUUGCUUCUGCUGAGCCACGACGGGACCUCCCGGAUUGUACAAGUAUUCUGUUGUCAUUUUUCUUACAAGGCUUACAGAUACAGUCAGUACUGUGUUACAGGGGCUAUAAGAAAGUCUGGGCCCAGUGAUGGGAAGGAUGGGAAGGGGGAAAUGGCCAUUUUUAUCUGGAAGGAUCAAGAAAGAAUUCAUUAGACUAUGACACGUGACUUGAAUGUGGAAAGCUAAGGCAGGGUUUGCCUGGAAGCACCAAUCUGAAGGACACUGUAGGAGAGAGCAGUGUUACGGAGGCCAAGUUUUAAAAAAAUAUAAAAAAGGGAGAAUUUCAUUUAAAAAAAAAAAUGAGUGUGUGUGGGUAGGAGGGCUGUGGAUAAUAGAGCCAAGUAUUUGAGGAAGAAGAAGUAAAGUGAGCCCUGAGAAAGCGUUCUCCUGGAUUUCUAAUAGAAAGUUUAUCAUUGAGAACCUCUGUCUGGUCAAGGCAGGGUCCAUGGGGAGCUGGGGACAGGCCAGGACAGCAGAAUUUCAUGGUCAAAAAUGGGGAGGUGGGGCGUUCCUGUUGUGGCUCAGCAUGUUACCAACCUGAUUGGUAUCCUUGAGGGUGCAGGUUCGAUCCCUGGCCUCGCUCAGUGGGUUAGGGAUCCAGCGUUGCCAUGAGCUGUGGGGUAGGUCACAGACAUGGCUUGGAUCUGGCGUUACCAUGGCUGUGGCUGCGGAGGAGGCUGGCAGCUACAGCUCUGAUUUGACCCCUAGCCUGGGAACUACCAUAUGUCAUGGACGCAGCCUCAAAAAGCAAAGAAAAAAAGAUGCAGAGAUGAAAUAUAGACUGAUCUUCUUAAGGGCUUUGUCAUUAAGGGAAGAAGCGAUACAGGCUGUUGCUAAUGCAGAGUGGCCCGUCUUCUUUAAAAAGGAGAGAUUUGAGCAUGUUUGUUCGCUGUGGCAAAGGAGCCAGUGGAGAGGGAGGGGCUGAAAAUGCAGAAUGCCUAGCGGAGCCCCCUCUGGGAGGCAGGAGGCGGGCAGGCUCAGGGAGAGCUCGCAGUGCACCUGUGGGCACAGGGGCUGGGGGUUGAGUUGGGCUAAGCGUGGUGUCUGGUGAGCAGGACUCGUGGAAGGACAGAGGGUGAAGGUCACUGAGUGACAGGAGAGGCACUGGAGGAUCUAGGGUCUGAGUAGACUCGAGACCCUCGACUGGGUGGGAAAGUGCGUAGGGCUGUGAAAGGCACGGGAUGGCCUCAGUGAAAACCUGCAGCUUCAGGUUCGUAUGUGGAAGCCCAUCCACGGUCACAUGCACUUCAGUCGCAUUUGGGGGCCCCCCCAAGCUCCUUCACACCCACGGGCCUUCGCUAGACCCUAUUGGAGCAAAAGAGAAGCAACAGUGCGUUUCCCACGUGGGACAGAGUUCUCUGGUUUCCUCUCCCUUUUUGAGCCAUCAGAACACCAUCUCCUUCACACAAAGCAUAAAUAGUUUCAAAAGAUGUCACUGGGACAAUGACAUAGCAGCAUCUUAGCUCCUGAAGUCAUGGACGUUCAGCGUGAGCUGGACCUUGGGGCCUGGAUUUCCUCAGGCCUCUCCCACACCUGUGCGUGGAUGUGGUCCCAGCAGUAGCACCUGGGGUUCUGCGGGCUCAUGACGACCUCGUGUGUGACACCUGCAGGACCCCAGCCUCCCCGGUGACAGCACCGUGGCCCUCACAGCCUCUGCUGUGGACUGCGAACAGUCCUUCCAGAUUCCGCACCAAGUCCCCUGUAAGCCCUUGCGCUGCCAAGGCGACAGCAUGCUGCUUCAGUCCCACCAAGCAGAGGUGGGGAAAGCACCCCCACACACUGCCUGCCACUGUGUCACCUGGGCUCUGAAGCAAGUGCCUCAGGGAGACGGACCCCUGCCCCGACCCCUCUCUCUUCAGAAGUUCCAAUGAGCCUGGGGUCAGACCACAUCUGCUCCCCCCGUAUUUCCUCUCUCUUCCCACGGAUUCCCACGUCCAAAGCCUCCUCCUGGUGGGUUUCCUGUCCCUCAAGACACUCGAACCCUCGAAUAGACUCCGAAGUCUCCUGGCCCACGGGUCACCCCACAGGAUGACUCUGAUCUCAUCCCAGGCUUCUCUGGACACCGCUGCUAAUUUCCUAGAGCAAGUGGUGCAGAUGUGCCUGCGGCCUCUUAAGUUGCCCUUGCCCUGCUCUGCAGCAAAUCCUCUCUGUGGGCCGAUCUAAUAGGUGCAAUUUUUUUUUUCUUUUGCCAGUGUACCUUUUCCAUGCUUGAGGAUUUUAAUUUGAUUAUUCGUUAAGUGUCUGGCUGCCCCUGAUAAAUCCAGUCCGAAGAAGGAGCUGGAAGCAGGAAGGGCAAAGGCAGGGGCGAGGAGGGAGGAUCUUGAGACCCGGUUCUGCUGUCCGAUGACGCUGCCAUAACCACGUUCCCCGGUUUGGGGGCUCCGGCAGUGGAAAUGUACUAGCUCAGCGCGCCGGAGGCCGGAAGCCUGAGAUCGAGGUGUGGGCAGGGUUGGCUGCGCCCGGGGCCUCUGUCCUGGGCUUGGAGACGGCCGUCUUCCCCGCAUCCUCCCGUCGUCUUCCUUCCUUCCUUCCUUCCGUGUGUGUGUGUGUGUGUGUGUGUCCUGAGCGCCUCUUCCUCCAAGGACACCAUCAUGCAUCUUAGCUCAUUUCGCCUCACUUCCUUCUUUAAAGGCUCUACUUCCAAAUGCAGUUACAUUCCGAGUUACCCGGCACAGGACCUGGACAUACGCAUUUGAAGGAGACGCAAUUUCACCAUAACUCCGGCCCUGUGGAGUCAAGAGACGGCAAGGGCAUUGAAGCAGGACCUGCCUGUGAGACCCCGAGCUCUAUGGGCUGAGGGGGCCUCCCUGGGGCGGGGCCGGCAGAGCUUGGUGAUGUGCGCUGCCCUCCUCUCACGGGACCCAGUGCCAGGCCAUCGUGGGCAGAACGGAAGGCAUCUAUGCCACAUUCCAACGAGGGAUUUGGAAAAUCCCGUGGAAUCAUGAGCUUUUAUUAAUUGAAGGCUUCCCAAAGACCUGUCUACCUUGAUCAAACAGAUGACUCUCUCUUCGUGACCACAGGGAGCCCUCAGGGACAGGAACUGGCUCCUGGACAUCCAUGACCUCAAGGCUCGAGACCAGAAAGACAAAAUGUUCGCACAGAUGCAGAACAAAAGCAUCAUUCAUGGUGAUGGCAUCACUGAAACUGUCAGACAGGAAGAUUACCAAGGGUUUGGCGUGAGUGGGGAAAUGUAAAUGAAAAUUUGAAAACCGUAUCUGGACCGUAUUCUCAUUUAAGGACUGGAAAUACCAACUAGAACCUAUUGAUUUAUGGUGCUAACUUUAUUGUUUUAUCCAAAAAAAAAAAAGUGUCUAAGGUUUUCUCAGAUUCCCCUGAGAUCUUGGUGCCCAAACUCUAAACUCUAUUUUCUUUAUGAAGACUUGAGUCCCAAAAGGGCACGUGUUCCUGGGUGACUACGGCGGGGAAAGGGCUCUGUGUGCAUUUCGAGGUCGAAGCCCAAGAUGCUGUUUUGGGGGAGAGGGAGUCACAGCCUUGAGAUAGACGGUCUCUUUCCUGGUUUAUAGCUCAGCGCGUUAAGAUACACAUAUUUCAUUUUAACUUCAGGAUCAAUGUACAGUGUCUUCAAGCACACCAAGUGCUUCGAAGGGAUGUGCGCCAGGAUCACCUUUCUGGUGGUGAAACAUGGGUACUCCUUGCACUUGUCAUGGCCCCGACGUGCUAAUCCAGGAUUCCCUCAUCACUCAGUACAUUUUUAUUAAGGACCUGCUGUGUCCUAAGGACUGCGUCAUCCGCUGCGAACACAAGGCCCCUCCCCCAGGGAUUUAUAGCGGGUUAAGUGCCCGGGUGCCCUAACAGGGAGGCACUGGGGGGCGGGAGGGAUGACACGGAGAGCCAGGUGGGGUGUGAUGGAGAGGUAAGCAGAAGCCAAGGGGUGCCAAGUGUAGCC
Molecule: long non-coding RNA, 8445 nt
Filed under: Sus scrofa (pig)
Lineage: Eukaryota; Metazoa; Chordata; Mammalia; Artiodactyla; Suidae
Description: lncRNA (ENSSSCG00055017048.1)
Source: RNAcentral